GAGCGCAGCGCCCCCCCCCUUUCGCCUGCUCUGUGCGCGCACGCGCGUGUCCACAAGGAGCAGGAGCAGACGCAAGUAGUCGGUCCGCACUCAUGUACCGCUUGACGCGCACCACCACCAUGCUUCGUCAAUUCGUGGUGCCAGUGCGUCAGACGACACAGAGGGCAGGAUUGCCUACGCCACCGUUAUUUGGUGUGCAGAAAUGCUCUGUGAACAUGAAUCGCAGCGUGCAGACGCGGUGGGAGAUUGAUAGCCAGACCGCCUCGCAGAAGCGCACUGAAUACGACUUUGACAAAGAGCAGUGGAUGAAACAGAUGCGGUUUGCCUCUAUGGACUGCAUCAUGGACCCCGACAUCACGCCCAUCCGCUACACCUCCGUCGGAGGAGUGAAGAAGGCGCUCCGGCGCUUCGUGACCAUGCGCAAGCUGAUGGACCGUCGCCCGGACUUCGACCCUGUACAGCUGAAGGAGCUGUUCAUCCAGUUCAAGACGCUCUCCCAUGAGAAGAGCCCGGACUGCUUCAAAACGCUGCAGCGCAUCACGACGCACGGAGAGGCGGACCGAAUCCUUAAAGAGAUCAAGGGACGCAUGAACGAGGACUUUGCCAAGAAGAGCUGGAGGUCGUUGAAGCAGCAAGGAGCGAAGAGCACGUACGAGAUGGAGGUGGACUCAUUCGACCUGGUGACAUGCUACAUGGGGCAGAUGUCGCAAGAGGACUGGCUUCAAAUCACGUACCGCUGCGAGUUCCGCCAGCGCGCGAGCAAGGAGUAUGACUGGGAGACGAUGAUGGAGUACCCGGUGUUUGAGGUGAGACUCGGAGACGGUGUCAAGGCGCCCAACACCCACCCCUUCAUCGUUGUGGGGGUGCUCAAGAAGGACGGCACCCGCUACGGCAAAGACUCACAAGACGCCGCCGACCUUCGCAAGCAGUUCGACCGCACAGGGCGGUGGUUCUGACACACCGAUGAGUGCAACGGAUGCACCAUCCUUUUUCUUUCGUGUGUGUGCGCUUCCUUUCUGCAGUCGUUGGACAUGCGCAUACGCCCACUGUGAGCCGAUUUCUCGACGCUCAUGUUGUCUUUUGUAUGUCGCUGUGUGUGGGUGUGUGUGUGUUGGAGCGGUACUGUUGUCUCACAGUUCCAGCUGCGGAUCGUGCUUCGCUACGUAGCUUUUGUCGCUAAAGUUGAACAGACACGCAAGUUUGUGUACAGG
RNAcentral lists this unclassified non-coding RNA (1211 nucleotides) under Leishmania donovani. RNAcentral describes it as "gene:LdHU3.14.0100(CDS-product:hypothetical_prote in_conserved)". Lineage: Eukaryota; Euglenozoa; Kinetoplastea; Trypanosomatida; Trypanosomatidae. The record is from RNAcentral.